Molecule: long non-coding RNA, 934 nt
Organism: Brassica napus (rape)
Lineage: Eukaryota; Viridiplantae; Streptophyta; Magnoliopsida; Brassicales; Brassicaceae
Exons: 6
Source: RefSeq, a predicted model, not a curated record
GCUCCCUUCCUGAUCUUCGUUCGUCUUCUAUCGGCGCAGCGAUCGUCCAGAAUCUGUAACGGUUAUGCUUUUAAUCGUCUUUAAUCGUCUUUAAUUCCUACCCCACUCAAAUCAACCUCUUGAGCCGUUCAUCGGCUAUAUUAAUCGUCUUUAAUCCUGGUUUAUAUAUUAGAAGCGAGUUUCACUGUCGGGAAGCGAGGUUCUCAGAGAGAUUCAGGCAUCAUCUUCCACCUAGAUGAAAAGAAACUUCUAUUUCAUUUGGGAUCAUGGAUUUUGGUGGACUUCCAAAUAUUAUCUGGAAGAGUUUCUGUAAAUUCUUUGGUCCACUUCAAGUUCCUGAGAACACCAAUGAUCCUGAUGAUGGAUAGGCUGAAGAACUCCAAGCCCAAAUGGAGCACGACUAUGACAACAGAUCAAACCAUUAAAGAGAAAAUCAUCUUGCGUGUUGUGUCAAAGUUUACUGGCGAAGUUCUUGCAUGCUGUGUCAAGGUUUACGAUGAUUAUGAGAUUACUGAAGAUGAUGAUGAGGAUGUGAAGGGAGGAAGAUAAGUAGGAGGAUGAGGACGACAAUGAAGAGGAUGAGCAGGGAAAGAAGAGCAUAAAAAGUCAUCAGCUGGACGGAAGGUCUGGAAGCAUACAACUUGCGGAAGGUCAACAAGGUGAGAGGCCAUUGGAGAGUAAGCAACAGUGAGUAAAAUUCUUCUGCAGUAUAGAAAGUGGCUUAUUUGUGAAGAGUUGGGUCUUUCUAUUUCUGAAGUUGUAGAAUCGUUGUCCGUUUGAUACGAAAUAUCAAGUUUUGUCGAGUGGUUUGCUAAAAAAAUUUGGUUAUUUGGUUUGGUCUGGUUUGCGUCUGAUUUUUCAUUUGUAACGUGUGUCUAAUCAUGAACUGGUUUGAACCCUUUCUAAUAGUAUUUGUGGUUUUGUUAACAAUUCA